ACACACACAAAAACCAUCAAAAACCUUCUAGCCUCUCAUAUCUGCUUCCACACACAUAAUCCUCUUCCCUUACCACCAUAACCUCACAUUAACUCUUUCAUGCUUCUUUUUCUUUCCAUCUCACAAACCUGCUACUUCUCCUUCUUUUUAUAACUCAAACAACACUUCAGCACCAACUUUCACUACAACUUUAACACACA
RNAcentral lists this long non-coding RNA (200 nucleotides) under Lathyrus oleraceus (garden pea). RNAcentral describes it as "Pisum sativum (pea) long non-coding RNA (PSAT_LNC019847)". Lineage: Eukaryota; Viridiplantae; Streptophyta; Magnoliopsida; Fabales; Fabaceae. The record is from RNAcentral.